GUGGAUGCCACUUGUAUAAUGUUGUAAUAAGAAUAACCUUACUUUAAUAUAUAUAGUAGAUAGUAGAUAAGUAACGCACGUAACGAUUAUGUAUUAUAUACACAUUUACAUGGGCUAAUGAUUUUCUUAUUAAAAAUGGUAGGUGGUUUUCAUUGUUAUGGAGUGCAGCCAGAGCCCCUAAUUGCUCUUACCUAGUAUCGUCCCUCCCAUCCUUUACAAAAAGUAAAGUAACUUAACCAACCUUUGUUUUCAUUUUCAGCGUCUCUUUCACUUUUUUGGUCUCUUUCAAUUCCUUCAUUUUUUUCACCUCCAUUGUGUUCAUAUUCUUCUCGUGCCCGUUCUCCUUUUCCACCUUCUAUAUCCUUUUUCCAUUCUUUACCCCAUCCCCAAAUGUACCCAUGUGGUCCACAAAAAAUGCCAUAAAACCAAUCUAUCUCAAUUCUUGUUUUGGAUUCUUCUAUUACACCAACUGCAAGUCAACAAAGAGUUUUUUUUAUUGAGUACAAUAAAAUAAGAAAGCAAUUGCGCAUACAAAUUAUAGAUAUACUUUGAUUCUCGUCUUUGAAUGGUUCAAUUGCGACAACAUUUAUAAGAACUAGUGCACAAAGAAAUAAUAGGACAAUAAAAGGUUUGAUAUUCAUCCUUGAUAAACUAAAAGUAUUACGAUGAAAUAUGAAUACAAUCAACAACUAUUUAUAACAACCAUCUAAAUAUAUAUAGAAAAUAAGAAUAGAAAGAACUUGAUUAGAUAAUAUAUAUUGUACAAUAAAAAAUAUAAUAUAUUUAUAAGUUAGCUCGUUGUGAGGUUAAUAGUUGUUCUAGUGUAAGGCUUCUUAUUGUUUUUUAUCUUCUCACCUUAAUUUUAGAAUAGUUAGUCACAAGGUGAAUUUAAACUAUUAGAGUAACACAACCGCGAUAGGCAAGGAUGCCUAUCUGGUUUAAGUGAGUCCUUUAUAACUAGGAAUGACUCAAUUACAUUUUGUGUAACUAAACAAA
RNAcentral lists this long non-coding RNA (996 nucleotides) under Medicago truncatula (barrel medic). RNAcentral describes it as "lncRNA gene9433". Lineage: Eukaryota; Viridiplantae; Streptophyta; Magnoliopsida; Fabales; Fabaceae. The record is from RNAcentral.